RNAcentral lists this ribosomal RNA (253 nucleotides) under uncultured bacterium. RNAcentral's name for it is "partial 16S ribosomal RNA". It matches the Rfam family "Bacterial small subunit ribosomal RNA", at positions 524 to 776 of the family's 1533-position model. The record is from RNAcentral.
UACGUAGGGGGCAAGCGUUGUCCGGAAUCAUUGGGCGUAAAGCGCGUGUAGGCGGCUUGGUAAGUCUGCUCUGAAAGCCCGGGGCUCAACCCCGGGAGGCGGGUGGAUACUGUCAAGCUCGAGUCCGGAAGAGGAGUGUGGAAUUCCUGGUGUAGCGGUGAAAUGCGCAGAUAUCAGGAGGAACACCAAUGGCGAAGGCAGCACUCUGGGACGUGACUGACGCUGAGGCACGAAAGCGUGGGGAGCGAACAGG